UACGGAAGGUGCAAGCGUUGUCCGGAUUGACUGGGUGUAAAGGGCGCGUAGGCGGAGAGGUGUGUCGGGAGUGAAAUCGUGCGGCUUAACCGUAUCAAUUGCUUUCGAAACUACCUCCCUUGAGUACAGAAGGGGCAGAUGGAAUACCUGGUGUAGCGGUGGAAUGCGUAGAUAUCAGGUAGAACACCGGAGGCGAAGGCGGUCUGCUGGUCUGUAACUGACGCUGAGGCGCGAAAGUGUGGGGAGCAAACAGG
This 254-nucleotide ribosomal RNA is filed under the name uncultured bacterium. RNAcentral describes it as "partial 16S ribosomal RNA". It matches the Rfam family "Bacterial small subunit ribosomal RNA", at positions 524 to 776 of the family's 1533-position model. The record is from RNAcentral.